This 404-nucleotide ribosomal RNA is filed under the name Bacillota bacterium. RNAcentral describes it as "Firmicutes bacterium partial 16S ribosomal RNA". It matches the Rfam family "Bacterial small subunit ribosomal RNA", at positions 355 to 776 of the family's 1533-position model. Lineage: Bacteria; Bacillati; Bacillota. The record is from RNAcentral.
UGGGGAAUCUUGCGCAAUGGGCGAAAGCCUGACGCAGCCAUGCCGCGUGAAUGAUGAAGGUCUUAGGAUUGUAAAAUUCUUUCACCGGGGACGAUAAUGACGGUACCCGGAGAAGAAGCACCGGCUAACUUCGUGCCAGCAGCCGCGGUAAUACGAAGGGGGCUAGCGUUGCUCGGAAUUACUGGGCGUAAAGGGCGCGUAGGCGGAUCGUUAAGUCAGAGGUGAAAUCCCAGGGCUCAACCCUGGAACUGCCUUUGAUACUGGCGAUCUUGAGUAUGAGAGAGGUAUGUGGAACUCCGAGUGUAGAGGUGAAAUUCGUAGAUAUUCGGAAGAACACCAGUGGCGAAGGCGACAUACUGGCUCAUUACUGACGCUGAGGCGCGAAAGCGUGGGGAGCAAACAGG